CAAAUUAAAGCUUAUUUAGUAAAGUAUUUUAUUUACAUUAAAAUGAUGUUGUGCGAUUCAAUAUAGUUUGA
This 71-nucleotide transfer RNA is filed under the name Aspidytes niobe. RNAcentral describes it as "transfer RNA-Val". It matches the Rfam family "tRNA". Rfam says of the family: Transfer RNA (tRNA) molecules are approximately 80 nucleotides in length. Their secondary structure includes four short double-helical elements and three loops (D, anti-codon, and T loops). Lineage: Eukaryota; Metazoa; Arthropoda; Insecta; Coleoptera; Aspidytidae. The record is from RNAcentral.